RNAcentral lists this ribosomal RNA (801 nucleotides) under uncultured bacterium. RNAcentral describes it as "bacterial SSU rRNA". It matches the Rfam family "Bacterial small subunit ribosomal RNA", at positions 48 to 866 of the family's 1533-position model. The record is from RNAcentral.
GCUACACAUGCAGUCAAGGGCUUAUUUGUAGCAAUACGGAUAGGCACUGGCGCACGGGUGAGUAACGCGUAGAUAAUCUGCCCCUAACACAGGCACAACAGUUCUAACGGACUGCUAAUACCUGAUGAGGAGGAAGCUCCAAAGAAUUUCGGUUAGGGAUGAGUCUGCGUCUGAUUAGGUAGUUGGUGAGGUAACGGCUCACCAAGCCUACGAUCAGUAGCUGGUCUGAGAGGACGAACAGCCACACUGGAACUGAGACACGGUCCAGACUCCUACGGGAGGCAGCAGUGAGGAAUAUUGGUCAAUGGGAGCAAUCCUGAACCAGCGACGCCGCGUGUGGGAUGACGGGGCUACGCCCUGUAAACCACUGUCGGAUGGGACGAAAAGCGAGUUUCACUCGCCGGGACGGUACCAUCAAAGGAAGGAUCGGCUAACUACGUGCCAGCAGCCGCGGUAAUACGUAGGAUCCAAGCGUUGUCCGGAUUUACUGGGUGUAAAGGGUGCGUAGGCGGGCAGGUGCGUCAGAGGUGAAAUCUCCCGGCUUAACUGGGAGGGUGCCUUUGAUACGGCUUGUCUCGAGUGCGAGAGAGGAUGAUGGAAUUCCUGGUGUAGCGGUGAAAUGCGUAGAUAUCAGGAGGAACACCAGUGGCGAAGGCGAUCAUCUGGCUCGUAACUGACGCUGAGGCACGAAAGCGUGGGGAGCAAACAGGAUUAGAUACCCUGGUAGUCCACGCCUUAAACGAUGGGUACUAGAUUUGGCGGGUCUUGACCCCUGCCGAGUCGGCGCUAACGCAAUAAGUA